Non-coding RNA from Gossypium raimondii (Peruvian cotton), 121 nucleotides. NCBI's taxonomy places the organism in Eukaryota, Viridiplantae, Streptophyta, Magnoliopsida, Malvales, Malvaceae. The record is from Rfam.
UAGAGCAUGACAAAUUAGAUUUUUCCUCCUGAUUUUCAACUUUUUCCUCUUAAAAGAAAUUCAAAUCCAACUAAAAAUACUAAAAAUUAGGAGAAAAAGUUUGAUUUGUCAUGCUGAUCUU